GUCGUCAGCUCGUGUCGUGAGAUGUUGGGUUAAGUCCCGCAACGAGCGCAACCCUUGUCAUUAGUUGCCACAUUCAGUUGGGCACUCUAAUGAGACUGCCGGUGACAAACCGGAGGAAGGUGGGGACGACGUCAAGUCCUCAUGGCCCUUAUGGGUAGGGCUACACACGUCAUACAAUGGCGCAUACAGAGGGGAGCCAACCCGCGAGGGGGAGCAAAUCCCAGAAAGUGCGUCGUAGUCCGGAUUGAAGUCUGCAACUCGACCUCAUGAAGUCGGAAUCGCUAGUAAUCGCGGAUCAGCAUGUCGCGGUGAAUACGUUCCCGGGCCUUGUACACACCGCCCGUCACACCAUGGGAGUGGGUUUCACCAGAAGCAGGUAGCCUAACCGCAAGGGGGGCGCCUACCACGGUGAGAUUCAUGACUGGGGUGAAGUCGU
RNAcentral lists this ribosomal RNA (436 nucleotides) under uncultured soil bacterium. RNAcentral's name for it is "bacterial SSU rRNA". It matches the Rfam family "Bacterial small subunit ribosomal RNA", at positions 1051 to 1489 of the family's 1533-position model. The record is from RNAcentral.